RNAcentral lists this transfer-messenger RNA (360 nucleotides) under Phenylobacterium soli. RNAcentral's name for it is "Alphaproteobacteria transfer-messenger RNA". It matches the Rfam family "Alphaproteobacteria transfer-messenger RNA". Rfam says of the family: Bacterial tmRNA, also known as 10Sa RNA or SsrA, is named for its dual tRNA and mRNA-like properties. The record is from Rfam by way of RNAcentral. Lineage: Bacteria; Pseudomonadati; Pseudomonadota; Alphaproteobacteria; Caulobacterales; Caulobacteraceae.
CGUCUUUAAUUCGGAACGGUUGAUCCCUAUAUUCAUGGGCGUCGGGCUUGCCCGACUAUGGGGAUAAACGCGCGCGUAAUAAGCGGACUGGACCCGGGUGCGAUUCCCGGCGGCUCCACCAAAUCUUCCCCCGGGUAUCGCCGGGCAAGUGCGGGGCCGAUCAGGAUCGACAGACGUGUAAAGGCGUAGCUUUCUCCCGGCCUGACCCACCGUUUCGGGUCUUUUGAUAGAUGCGAACGAUAACUUCGCUUCUGAAGUUCGGCUCGCCGCGUAAGCGCGCGCUGACUUCAACCUAAAGCCCUUGCGGUUAGCACCGUAAGGCGGGGCUCGGAGGGGGCCUGGCAACAGAACCCCUCCACC